AGUCAUCGACCGAACCCGUUUCCUCACGGAGCGGGCGAGGUCGGAGUCUGGGGCGUGCUGCCGCGAGGCUGCUCCCCUCAAAUGCAUCGGUUGGGCCUGUGGGUCGAACUCGUAACGGCGUUGUAACCAUCCUCGCUCACCUCGAGACGGACCCCUGCCGUGCCCUCCCGCGACCCGCCUCUGGAGUGGCGGUCAAGCACCUUUGAA
RNAcentral lists this unclassified non-coding RNA (207 nucleotides) under uncultured Trechisporales. RNAcentral describes it as "sequence contains ITS2". Lineage: Eukaryota; Fungi; Basidiomycota; Agaricomycetes; Trechisporales. The record is from RNAcentral.